Rosa rugosa (rugosa rose) is the source of this 2799-nucleotide long non-coding RNA. RefSeq lists it as uncharacterized. The record is from RefSeq and is a predicted model, not a curated record. Lineage: Eukaryota; Viridiplantae; Streptophyta; Magnoliopsida; Rosales; Rosaceae. The transcript has 8 exons.
AAUGUUAGAACUCCAGAAGGUUCAGGUUUUUUCGCUCUCUCGCUUCUCCUUAGAUACGCGGCAAGGAUUGAUUUCUAUGGCAAAGGGAUUGAUUUUUGAUAAAUUACAGAUUUGCCUGAUAAGGUUGGGUAUAAUCCUCGGCUCUUCCUCUUUCUGGAAGUAUCAAUCUGCACUAACAUCUCUACACCGACAUGCAUCAACUCUUCUUGCAGACUAUCAAGCUAAUAAAACCUCUUUUCUGUUGAAACGGAAGAAAAGAAGAGAAGAAGAAGAAGAGGUACUUUACCUGUAAAUUGAUCAUCCCAGUUGAUUCCUUUCAUCUUCGGGGAGCCGCUACUACCAUCUAGAUUCACUGUUAGUCAAGGUCAACCUGAACAAUCGAAAUCAAGAACAGUGAAAGCUUGUCAUCAUGUUGGAAGGGAGUGUGAAAAGAGAAGAGGUAAUCGUUCACAGCGACCGUUGCGUUAUCAUUUAUCUACUCAAAAAAGGUAAUCGUUGGUGACUUCCUCUUCCGUCUUAAUAUGGUGUUUGAAUGAUUGAUUACUGAUUCGCUGUUUCAUUGUCUUAUGUUUGAUGCUCGGGUUGGACUGAAAGUCAGUAAGAGAGUUGGUUGUUGAAGUUUUAGAUUAAAAUCCGUGUAUACAUAUGUAUAUAAUAUUUUAUGUAUGUAUAUAUAUGAUUGUUGUCAUCAUCAAUCCAGUAGUUCUGAUAUUUUUUGAUGAAAUUUGCCAAUUUUUCAUUCUCUAUACAAAAUUGAUCUACUAUUUCAUAUGUUGAAGUAGAAAUAAAAUGCCUAAUUUGUAAUACAGUUUAUGAUGUUCGAAAGAAGAAGUUAUUGAGAAAAUAAAGUUUUAUACAUGACUCAUUGCCUUUGCUGCCAUCCCUUUGGUUUAUUUCCAUGUAGAAUUUGCGGUAGUUACAUAAUUACCUUUGUAUGGGCUGCCUUUCCAUAGGUAUUUCCUACACACUAACUAUUGAAUUUGAAGUUUGUAUACAUAUAUAUACACACAAAAUUUUAUAUGUGUGUGUGUUAUAAUAAUAAUCAUCAUCAUCAACUCAUUCCUUUUGGUGUUUAUUGAUGAUACUUGCCAACUCUUUGUUUUCUAAACAAAAUUGACGAUCGAAAGAUAGACAGGGAAAAAAAGAGAGAGAGAGAACAGUUUUUCUUCUCUUUGUUAAAUCUGAAAUUUUAGAGUCUGUGAUUUUGAUCUGUUGUUGGGCAUCUGUCCCACCUUCUUCUUCAUGAGCAGAGUUUCAAUGCUGAAGAAGGUAUAACUAAUGAUGAGAUUGACGACUUAUACAGUAUACUUAAUGGACUACUUUGUUUAUUCGUCUCCUGUGAUGAUGAAGUCAUAUGGUUUGUUUCUUUGUGAAUGGUUUCUAUGCCUUUGUUGUGUGAUCAAACUGCUUUGGUGGAAACAGAAAGUGCCUUCUAGGUGAUUGAGCAAACAAGAAAAAGACAAUUUUGUGUCUUUCUUUGUUUGGGCAUCGUUACUCAGACACAUUGCUGUCUAAGUUAAUCAGGGCGUCGCACUGUGCAACUGUUCAUUCGAGGCGCUACUGUUCAUUCGAGCCUGAAUUGAAUGACGAUUUUGCCCUUGGUGGUUACGUGAAUUACAGUUGCCCAAUUUUUAUAUUUUUAGCGUCGUGUCGUUCAGCAGAAGAGACUGGAAACGCAAAGGGGAUAGGUGGUGGUUGGUCCUUUCACUAAUCGAAAGAAAGACUGAAGCGAGUAGAUCUUGCGUUCUUGGAAUCGAAAGAAGAAUAGAAAAGGUUUUUGAUUGAAGGGGUGGUUGAGGAUAGCUGGUAUUGCGCUUGAAAGAAAGAUUGAGGGGAGUAGAUUUCUUUUCUAUUAUAUAUGUUUUCAGAAAAUGGUGGCAUGAUGUUUUGGAAUAGGUAGAUUCAAGUGUACCUUCUUUAGGAGCAGAAAGUACAUACAAUUUAGAAAAAUGGAGAUUAAUAGUUUAUAGUGGUCAACAUGACCAUUGAAUCUGGAUUUUUUUUCUUCAGAGAUCCCUCUUAGCUGUGGGAUAUGCAGUUUCUCUUUUCAUUUGCGGAUUGAUUUGACUGUACUGACUACAAUUGGAACAAUUUUUUUUAACACAAAACUCAUAAACUUAAAUAAAAAUACCAGUACAUAUGUAUAAAUAGAAACAUCUAUUAGUUCAUUUACCAGUGGGCAAUAUUUGAUUCUAUCUGGGUGUACAUUUGAUUCUGUCUGGGUUCUUUUAUUUAAUAAUAUCAUAGAGCUCUAGCUUUAUUAAAUCGACAGUUAACUUCUCUUAGAGGAAAGACAGAGAGUUCAAGGUCUGCAUCAAGUUGGCAAACAAGCCCGACCUUUAUCAAGCAAUUUAAUUCCUAGAUGCUGUAUUUUCAAGCAAAGGGAAUGAAUUUGAUUUGGAGAAAUACUGAUGGACCAAGGGAUAUUGUUUAAUGUUUAUGAGCCAAACAAUAACAAUCUGAAGUUUGGACUGAAAGACUCAAAAGAAAUUGUAGACCAGCUCCAAUGGCAUGGGUUCUCUCAAGAAGAAUGUGGUAACAUUGAUAGAGUUAACAUUGUGAAAAAACUUCAAAAAGCAAUAUGGUGAAGAUAAUGAAACUACUGGAGAGCAGAUAAAGACUCUAGAUAUAGCAGUACCUGAAGGUGGGAUUCACAUGAAGAUGGCAUUCAUUUAUGGGAAUGAUAGAGAACUUUUUGUUGCAUGCGAUUAUUUAGCUAUUUCACAUUCUUCUGUACACUGGAUUUGAAUAGCUUGAAUUCACUUUCAGAUUUAAUAUAUUAUGAUCCUGUUGAUGUUC